This 247-nucleotide ribosomal RNA is filed under the name uncultured Azoarcus sp. RNAcentral describes it as "partial 16S ribosomal RNA". It matches the Rfam family "Bacterial small subunit ribosomal RNA", at positions 796 to 1041 of the family's 1533-position model. Lineage: Bacteria; Pseudomonadati; Pseudomonadota; Betaproteobacteria; Rhodocyclales; Zoogloeaceae. The record is from RNAcentral.
CACGCCCUAAACGAUGUCAACUAGUUGUUCGUAGAGGUAACUCUGUGAGUAACGCAGCUAACGCGUGAAGUUGACCGCCUGGGGAGUACGGCCGCAAGGUUAAAACUCAAAGGAAUUGACGGGGACCCGCACAAGCGGUGGAUGAUGUGGAUUAAUUCGAUGCAACGCGAAAAACCUUACCUACCCUUGACAUGUCCAGAACCCUCGAGAGAUUGAGGGGUGCCUUCGGGAGCUGGAACACAGGUGC